Molecule: ribosomal RNA, 482 nt
Filed under: uncultured bacterium
Lineage: Bacteria
Description: partial 16S ribosomal RNA
Rfam family: Bacterial small subunit ribosomal RNA
Source: RNAcentral
AUUGAACGCUGGCGGCAUGCCUUACACAUGCAAGUCGAACGGUAACGGGCCUUCGGGUGCCGACGAGUGGCGAACGGGUGAGUAAUACAUCGGAACGUGCCCGAUCGUGGGGGAUAACGAGGCGAAAGCUUUGCUAAUACCGCAUACGAUCUACGGAUGAAAGCAGGGGACCGCAAGGCCUUGCGCGGACGGAGCGGCCGAUGGCAGAUUAGGUAGUUGGUGGGUUAAAAGCUUACCAACCCGACGAUCUGUAGCUGGUCUGAGAGGAUGAUCAGCCACACUGGGACUGAGACACGGCCCAGACACCUACGGGAGGCAGCAGUGGGGAAUUUUGGACAAUGGGCGCAAGCCUGAUCCAGCCAUGCCGCGUGCAGGAUGAAGGACUUCGGGUUGUAAACUGCUUUUGUACGGAACGAAAAGCCUUCUUUUAAUACAGGAGGGUCAUGACGGUACCGUAAGAAUAAGCACCGGCUAACUACGUG